Molecule: RNA transcript, 749 nt
Organism: Cebus imitator (Panamanian white-faced capuchin)
Lineage: Eukaryota; Metazoa; Chordata; Mammalia; Primates; Cebidae
Gene name: developmentally-regulated GTP-binding protein 1-like
Exons: 1
Source: RefSeq, a predicted model, not a curated record
AGUUUGCCCGUGGGUGUGUGAAGAGAAACAAUCAGUGUGGAGGCCACAAGGGACUCACCAGGAUGAGCAGCACCUUAGCUAAAAUUGCGGAGAUAGAAGCUGAGAUGGCUCGGACUCAAAAGAACAAGGCCACAGCACACCACCUAGGGCUGCUUAAGGCUCGUCUUGCUAAGCUUCCUCAAGAACUCAUUACUCAAAAGGGUGGUGGUGGUGGAGGUCCAGGAGAAGGUUUUGAUGUGGCCAAGACAGGUGAUGCUCGAAUUGGAUUUGUUGGUUUUCCAUCUGUGGGGAAGUCAACACUGCUUAGUAACCUGGCAGGGGUGUAUUCUGAGGUAGCAGCCUAUGAAUUCACUACUCUGACCACCGUGCCUGGUGUCAUCAGAUACAAAGGUGCCAAGAUCCAGCUCCUGGAUCUCCCAGGUAUCAUUGAAGGUGCCAAGGAUGGGAAAGGUAGAGGUCGUCAAGUCAUUCCAGUGGCCUGAAACUGUAACUUGAUCCUGAUUGUUUUGGAUGUCCUGCAACCCUUGGGACAUAAGAAGAUAAUUGAAAAUGAACUGGAAGGCUUUGGCAUUCGCUUGAACAGCAAACCCCCCAACAUUGGCUUUAAGAAGAAGGACAAGGGAGGCAUUAAUCUCACAGCCACUGUGAGUGGGGAAGACUACAUGGGCAGGCUGCUGCAGGAAUUAGAGUUGGGAGUGAUGUGCAUGGACAUUGACGUUGGAAAAUUUCCUGGCUUUUCCCUGUACUAA